Molecule: long non-coding RNA, 1169 nt
Filed under: Helianthus annuus (common sunflower)
Lineage: Eukaryota; Viridiplantae; Streptophyta; Magnoliopsida; Asterales; Asteraceae
Description: hypothetical non coding rna
Source: RNAcentral
UCAUAAGUUUUAUAUAUGAGCAUGGUAGUGAGAGGGGCGGGGGUUUGGACAUUUAGUUGCCCAAUUUUGUGCCUAAAAGCCUAUCAUUUGCUACCCCUAGCUACUUACCUAAAAAUUUGCCCAAUUUGACCCGGUCUUUUAGUAUUAGUAGUAGUUGUAGUAAUGUGAUGUAGAUAUGUGAUGCUUUAUUGCAUGGUUAUUUUCUCUAAAAAAAAAGCAGAAAAAUCGAAAAAAAAGAAAAAAAAAAGAAAGAAAAGAAAAAAAUAUGAAAAAUGAAAAGAAAGGAUGUUAGUUGUCUUGUAUUUAGUAGUUAGUUUGGUAGUUGUUAUUUUGUUUAAUUGUGUAAUAAAAAGACCGGGCCAAAUUUUCGCUACUUCAUAUAUAUCCCAUUUCGUACCUAUACACAUAGCCACGUUACAACCUUGAAGUCCCUUUGAAUUGCAUUCAUGUUUGGCACUUAUAGGAGAAGGAUUGAUUUAUGUACAAGCCUAUGAUCGCGCAACCACCCGUUUGCCUAUUGUGUGUCUAGCUUAUCGUUGCUAGUAUUCAAUUGUAGCCGAGAGGAGAGAUUUAGAGAGGGGUGCAUUGGUUGGGUGUUAAAAAGGGGUUAGUAAAAAGAUUGCUUGUUUUGCUUGGUUUACAUUGAUCACUUGUUUAGAAACUGAUUUGAUGAGUUGCUUUGGGACAAGCAACGGUUAAGUGUGGGGAUGUGACGGGUGGUCCAUUGGACAACCCUUUGCGAAGCUAAAAGACCAGUUUAUCCCUCAUUUAUGUGUACGGUUUGGCGGCUCAAAUGGAGGAAAAAUGCAGCUUUGAAGGCUUACAAGUUGAACGGGUUGAGAAUGUGGAGCAUAAGAUGAACGAAGCACAAAAUUCAGGCUGCCACCGUAAAUUACGGUCCCACCGUAAUUUACGGUGGACCUGAAAAUCAUUUUUGUUCCUACCGUAAAAUAGUAGUGCAGCACCGUAACACUUUUAUGUCCACCGUAAUUUACGGUGGAGCCGUAAAUUACGGUGGAGUCUGCGGAAUUUGUGUAACUGCCACAUUAAGUGAGUUUUGAUGGUGUCUUUUCACCUAUUCUGAUCAUUGGACGUUUUUGGAGCUUGCUAGGGGCGAUUUUGGUGAUCUUGCUUGGUUGUAAACAUUAUCUAAACAUUUCGUUUGUGUU